GUUUUAAAUUAUGUUUUUAUCAGACACGUUGCUGUGUUGGAGUGUUGUUGUUUGAUGGUCGACUGCACGAAUGCAAUCGGCACUGGUUUAGAAUCCAAAAAUGAUCCUUCCGCAGGUUCACCUACGGAAA
RNAcentral lists this unclassified non-coding RNA (130 nucleotides) under uncultured fungus. Its description in RNAcentral is "sequence contains ITS1". Lineage: Eukaryota; Fungi. The record is from RNAcentral.